RNAcentral lists this ribosomal RNA (578 nucleotides) under Salmonella enterica subsp. enterica serovar Typhimurium. Its description in RNAcentral is "partial 23S ribosomal RNA". It matches the Rfam family "Bacterial large subunit ribosomal RNA", at positions 1960 to 2537 of the family's 2925-position model. Lineage: Bacteria; Pseudomonadati; Pseudomonadota; Gammaproteobacteria; Enterobacterales; Enterobacteriaceae. The record is from RNAcentral.
CGAAAUUCCUUGUCGGGUAAGUUCCGACCUGCACGAAUGGCGUAAUGAUGGCCAGGCUGUCUCCACCCGAGACUCAGUGAAAUUGAACUCGCUGUGAAGAUGCAGUGUACCCGCGGCAAGACGGAAAGACCCCGUGAACCUUUACUAUAGCUUGACACUGAACAUUGAGCCUUGAUGUGUAGGAUAGGUGGGAGGCUUUGAAGUGUGGACGCCAGUCUGCAUGGAGCCGACCUUGAAAUACCACCCUUUAAUGUUUGAUGUUCUAACGUGGACCCGUAAUCCGGGUUGCGGACAGUGUCUGGUGGGUAGUUUGACUGGGGCGGUCUCCUCCUAAAGAGUAACGGAGGAGCACGAAGGUUGGCUAAUCCUGGUCGGACAUCAGGAGGUUAGUGCAAUGGCAUAAGCCAGCUUGACUGCGAGCGUGACGGCGCGAGCAGGUGCGAAAGCAGGUCAUAGUGAUCCGGUGGUUCUGAAUGGAAGGGCCAUCGCUCAACGGAUAAAAGGUACUCCGGGGAUAACAGGCUGAUACCGCCCAAGAGUUCAUAUCGACGGCGGUGUUUGGCACCUCGAUGUCGGCU